CCUACGGGAGGCAGCAGUGAGGAAUAUUGGUCAAUGGCCGGAAGGCUGAACCAGCCAAGCCGCGUGAAGGACGAAGGUGCCAAGCAUUGUAAACUUCUUUUGUCAAGGGACAAAAUCAGGCUCGAGAGCCUGACCGAGGGUACUUGAAGAAAAAGCAUCGGCUAACUCCGUGCCAGCAGCCGCGGUAAUACGGAGGAUGCGAGCGUUAUCCGGAUUUAUUGGGUGUAAAGGGUGCGUAGGCGGAUGGUAAAGUCAGCGGUAAAAGCCCGGGGCUCAACUCCGGAGAGCCGUUGAAACUGGCUGACUUGAGAGGGCGAGAGGUAAGCGGAAUG
RNAcentral lists this ribosomal RNA (332 nucleotides) under uncultured bacterium. RNAcentral's name for it is "partial 16S ribosomal RNA". It matches the Rfam family "Bacterial small subunit ribosomal RNA", at positions 338 to 668 of the family's 1533-position model. The record is from RNAcentral.